CGCCCGUCUGAGACAAAGGGCCCGCGACUCGAACAGAGCUUCUGGACUCUGUCACUGUAACUCUGCAGCAAGCUUUCCUAAAGUGGAGUUGGAGAUAGCACCUCAGUAAAUGUCCUGUACCCACUACUUAUUGAGGACACACCCUGUUGACUGCUAAAAAUUUUCAUGGGACACAGUUCUGGGAAGUAAGACAUUAGGAGAAGUAAGCUGUCCUCUCCUGACAAGAGAUGUGCUUGGCAGGCUGUGAGGAGAGGAGGAGUUACAAGAGUAAAAAGGUCUCUCUCUAGAAGAGAAUUCACUAACGAGUCUGGCACUGUUUUCCACCUGAUAAGAGACAUUUACCAUCUAUUCUCUGAAGCUUGCUACCUGGAGACUUCAUUUGCAUAAUAAAAACCUUGGUCUCCAGAACCCCUUAUCAUAAUCCAGACACUCUUUUCUAUUGAUUCCAGGACUUUAGAUAACUCUUUCAACCAAUUGCCAAUAGAAAAUUUUUGAAUCCACCUAUGACCUGGAAGCACCUCCAUGGCCAACUUUGAGUUGUCCCGCCUUUCCAGACCAAAUCGAUGUAUACAUGUAUUGAUUGAUGUCUGCUUGUAACUUCUGUCCCCCUAAAAUGUAUAAAACCAAGCUAUAACCCAACCACUUUGGGCACGUGUUCUCAGGACAUUUUAUGGCUAUGUCACAGGCCUUGGUCACUCAUAUUUGGCUCAGAAUAAAUCUCUUUAUAUUUUA
This is a long non-coding RNA of Chlorocebus sabaeus (green monkey), 732 nucleotides long. RefSeq lists it as uncharacterized. The record is from RefSeq and is a predicted model, not a curated record. Lineage: Eukaryota; Metazoa; Chordata; Mammalia; Primates; Cercopithecidae.